ACUCCUACGGGAGGCUGCAGUGGGGAAUCUUGCGCAAUGGGCGAAAGCCUGACGCAGCAACGCCGCGUGGGGGAUGAAGGCUUUCGGGUUGUAAACCCCUUUCAGCAGGGACGAUAAUGACGGUACCUGCAGAAGAAGGACCGGCCAACUACGUGCCAGCAGCCGCGGUAAUACGUAGGGUCCAAGCGUUGUCCGGAUUUAUUGGGCGUAAAGAGCUCGUAGGCGGCUUCGUAAGUCGGGUGUGAAAACCCCAGGCUCAACCUGGGGACGCCACUCGAUACUGCGGUGGCUUGAGUCUGGUAGGGGAUCUCGGAAUUCCUGGUGUAGCGGUGAAAUGCGCAGAUAUCAGGAGGAACACCAGUGGCGAAGGCGGAGAUCUGGGCCAGUACUGACGCUGAGGAGCGAAAGCGUGGGGAGCGAACAGGAUUAGAUACCCUGGUAGUCCACGCCGUAAACGUUGGGCACUAGGUGUGGGGACCUAUCGACGGUUUCCGUGCCGCAGCUAACGCAUUAAGUGCCCCGCCUGGGGAGUAC
This 534-nucleotide ribosomal RNA is filed under the name uncultured bacterium. RNAcentral's name for it is "bacterial SSU rRNA". It matches the Rfam family "Bacterial small subunit ribosomal RNA", at positions 335 to 883 of the family's 1533-position model. The record is from RNAcentral.